AAAAUUUCAACAAGACCUUAAUUCCCAAAACUUUGUUGACCCAAAAAUAGUUGAUACCAAAGAUUAUAAAAAAUCUUCUUUACACCUUUUGAAGGAUCUUCAAGUGGACUUAGUAGACUUUGUAUACUCAGACUCAAACCAUAGAUGACCCACUCGUUAAAAUCAUUCAACAUACAUUUAAACAUUUUUAUAAUCCAACUACCAAUAUUUGGAGGAAAUAUCAUGCUACUCGCUUAAAUUUAGCGUCAGCAAAAAAUAAAGUCUCUCAAAAUAUAGGAAGGGUGCUAACUACUCCAUCACGAUUGGAAACAAUUGAGCUAGAUGGGAAUUGUUUUUACCGUAUGGAGAUAACAGGAAAACAAGACUCCUAUGGUUUGAUUAGAUCACAUAUGAUCUUGCUUAUGCUGC
This is a long non-coding RNA of Gordionus sp. m RMFG-2023, 408 nucleotides long. RefSeq lists it as uncharacterized. The record is from RefSeq and is a predicted model, not a curated record. The transcript is spliced from 4 exons. Lineage: Eukaryota; Metazoa; Nematomorpha; Gordioida; Chordodea; Parachordodidae.